GUUCCCUACGCGGUCGGGCGUUGGGUUUCGCGGCGCUCGCCGCACUGGUUGUUCAGCACCUUCGGUCCGGUUGAGGUUGUCAAGUCGGACCAAACAGGUUGUUUCUCUGCAGUUUCCAACAUGGCAGGGAGGUUUAAUAGACAUGGAUAAGAAGUCCACUCACAGAAAUCCUGAAGAUGCCAGGGCUGGCAAAUAUGAAGGUAAACACAAACGAAAGAAAAGAAGAAAGCAAAACCAAAACCAGCACCGAUCCCGACAUAGAUCAGUGACGUCUUUUUCUUCAGAUGAUCCUAUGUUUCCUUCUUCCUCAUCAUCGUCUUCAGGAAGCCAGACAGAUUCAAGUAUUGAAGAUGCUGCCAAGGGAAAAAUUAAGAAGAAGAGAAGAGAGAAAACAAAUAAAUGGGAAAAAAGAAAGGUGCGGUGAAACAUCAAUCGGCUUGGUCCACAGAUAAGCGUGUUCAACUCCCCGACGAGUGGAAAGGGAAUUCCCUGACCCCUUGAACUUCCCGGGUUAGGUGAUGCCUCGCCCUGCUUCGGCUCAAGCUCAGUGCACUGAACCCACUGUCCUGCACCAACUGUCCAGCACUCCCCUGUGAGAUGAACCUCGUACCUCAGUUGGAAAUGCAGAAAUCACCUGUCUUCUGUGUCGCUCACGCUGGGAGCUGUAGACUGGAGCUGUUCCUAUUCCAAUAAAAUUGUUCUUUAAUCAACACAA
Homo sapiens (human) is the source of this 715-nucleotide long non-coding RNA. Ensembl annotates it as long intergenic non-protein coding RNA 467. NCBI's taxonomy places the organism in Eukaryota, Metazoa, Chordata, Mammalia, Primates, Hominidae. The record is from Ensembl.